CGUUUCAUAAGGGAUCUCCAAUUGCACUCGCUUCGCUUAUUUGUUUUCUUCUAUCACUCUUAGUUUCUGCGUUAUAUCUGUCUCUUUCUGGGUUUUGCGCUUCAGAAUUGCAGCUAUGGGUUGCGAUUCUAAAAGAAGGCGUAGAGAGGAUGUGGGUGACACAACGAUUUCAUCAUCCAAGAAGCAAAAGCUGAUGCCGGUGACAGGUUUGGAGCAGACCCAAAAACUUCUUUGUUGCGGCAUCUUGCAGGAGCUAAUUGAUCACCGUUUUGGCUCUGUGGCUGUUCGAAUCCCUGAUUCUCAGGAGGUUCGAAGGCCUAUGGAUCUGUCCACCGUCAAAUCCAAGUUGGAGAGAGACAACUACUCCAGUAUUGAUGCCUUUGUGGCCGAUGUCAGGCUUACCUUCCAAAACGCGUCAUGGUGUUACCCUCUUGGAGAUAAACAGCGUGCAAUGGCCAGGACUCUUGGUAAGGUUUUUGAGGCUAAGUGGAAAUUAGGGUUUCCUGAAACUAGGUCUUCAACCUUGAAAGCUUCUUGUGCUAGUUUGGAUAGGUUUGUGUCUCCUAUUAGUCCAGUGAGUCCAUUAAGUCUUAAACAACUCAACAACAACAACAACAAAAGAGAGGCCAAGAGGUCAUCCAGAAACCUUGACGAAAAGAAGGGUUCUGCUUCUGCAGUGGAUAAAGAUAAGGAACACCGAAUCAAGCGCGGCCUUGACGAAGGGAAGGGUUCUGCUUCUGCUAUCACUUGUGCAGUGAAUAAAUAUAAGGAGCUCCGAAUCAAGCGGCUAAGGGAACAGGCUCGUAAGGAAAUUUUGAGGGUUGAAGAGGCUGCUCGCUUGAAAGUCGAGAAUCCUUUACAAGAUCUUCAACAACUCAAGUUGUUGUGCAGUGGUGGCAUCAAACAGGAUUCUUGUUACAGGGUUUAUCGUUGGUUGACACUUGAGAAGUUGGGCAUCUAUUUGAAGAGGGAUGAACUUGAAGAUGUUGAUGAGGAUGAAUUUCGCAUUGGAGAUUGGGAAGAAGAUGGAGAACAGAGUCCACAAACAACUAAAUAUUACAUCCACAUAUGGUGGCAUAUCAUCAUCAUCAUCCACAUGUAAGAGAAAAGAAACAGUACCAUUUCCUCACUGUGUGGGGUUACUGAUUCCAGAAAAGGGUAUCUUGUCUGUACAGUGAUUUUGUUUUUACAAUUGCAUCUGGUUUAUUGCAAUGAGUAGCUAAACCGUACCAUAAUGGUUAUUUUGACAUUGAUCCAUGUGGUAAAUUUUGUAUUUAGUGUGCUCCAAUAUUUGCUGUACUUGGUUGAGUAUUGAGGGUACGUACUUUUCAAUGUUUCUUCAUAGACAGCAUUCAAUUUAGACUGCUGAAAGUUUACGUCUUGGACAUGAACUUAUUCUUGGUUCACUUGUGUACAGAAUUCUGUUUCCUCCAGAAUGCAUGGUGGCUUUACAUUUUGUGUUUUGAACUUUUGAAGCUAGGAAAACUAUGUUGUGAACUUGUGAUGUUAUGAGAAAUUGCAAAAAAAAGUCAUCCUGUUAAUGAUUUUUUGUUUGAAUUUCUUUUCGAACUAUGUGAUUCUAUUUCUGUAGUUCCAGGAAAUUAGAUUUUAAACUUAGAUAACCUUUUGUUUUGCCUAGUUGUAAGGGUUUUUGUUGAAUGUGUUGUUUUGGAGAUUUUUUCUUCUGUUUUGUGUUUUCAACUUCAGGAGCUUCCUGAAGGUAGCUGGUAUUGUCCGCAUUGCACCUGUUGGAUAGAUGGCGAUUCUGCUGAUGAUAAAGAGGCUUCAAGCACUUCUGAUGGAUUUCAAUGUUCACAGUGCAAGCAAAAACCUUUUGUAAGACUAUCUUUCUUGCACCUAAAUAGUUUUCAUUACCUGUAGAGAGGGCUUAAAGUUGUUUGUUGUGGACGUGUGCUAUGUACAUCAGAACCGACAGAGUUCUCUUCCAAGGCUUGACAGAGGGGUGUUAGUGGAACUCUAUUGAAGAUGUAUUUCCCAGGUCAGGCAUUUGCCAAGAAUCAUUAUCGACCCUUGCCCUAUUUGGUGCAUGUCUUGUGAAUUGUGACAGUACACAUCCUUAGUUCCUUAUUCCCAACCUUUUGAUUUGAGUCUGUGUGGUUGAAGCGCAAGGUAUUUCAAUACUUUGUUCAAGUCCUCCUAGCCAACACUCUAGUUGCUGUAUAAUACAUUAAAGCCUUUUGGCACUUGUUUCAUAGCCAAAGAGAAGUUCUGGUUAAGCUAGAUUAUACUCAGAAGGCCGUAAUUUCCAAUGGGGGAUGUUUCAUUUUAUCUUCUAGGAAAAAAACUAGCAAAUAUGCCUUGGUUUUUCAUGGCAGCACUCGUUACAUUUCAACCUCUGCAGACAAUGUAAAGUUGAGUACAUAGCAGCACUAGUUCUGUAUCUUCAUUCUAUUCUUUGGUGAUGCCUCCAAGCAUACAAAGUCCGAUCUUAAGAAUCAAAAGUAUGCACUUCAACACGUGUUCAUUUUCCUCAGAUUCUCACAUACAGUCUCUGUUUUCAACUUCAAUUCUGCUUUGAUUUCGUUUUCACAAGCACUCAUUUAGUUCACUUGAUUUUCAGAUGUGCUCAUUCGACAGUGGCAGAAAGAGCAAGGUCCAAAAUUUGCACAAGUCUUCCGAGUGUUGCCAGAUAACAAAGUACAGUUUCUUGAUGGAAGAAACUGUCAUGCAUGGCUAAGCUUCAUAUAUAAUCAGGUUUUGGUCCCUGCUGAUACACGCCCCUUUUCUCAUUCAUAAAAUAGUCCCAUCUACUUGUAGAGAAUCAUAAAGGUGUAAUCAGGAGAAGAUCAAAAUGAAUGAAUCAAGUUCUUCAAGUAAGUAUGCAAUUCUUCUAGUUUUAAUAUUUUCUGGAAAUCUGGGAUUGCUGAUGCUGUAUCUAUCCUAGUUCUAUUUUGCACAGAAAUGUCUAUCUACAUGUAUUCAUUUGGAUAUAGAUUUGUAUUUAUUUUCAUGUACAGUUCUAACAAGAUUUUGUUAAAAUCACCGGCCAUCUGCCAUGGCAUAUCACAGUUUUUCGCAGCCAAGGCACGAAUCAAAUCCCAUGUUCUGCUCCUUUCUCUCCGGGCAGCAAAACCAUAAAUUCCCGUAAAUCUAUACACAGCAGGGAUACCUGGUUCUUUGAUCUCCACAUCAAUGUGAUGGGGAGACUUUGUUCGAAGAUCAGCAUGAAUCUCACCAUUCCAGAGAAGAGAUAAACCCUAAGAACCAUCUUCAUGUGGGUAGCAAAUGUGGCCAAUGAAACCAAGUUUGUUGGCAAGUGAGGCAAUAUGUGAUUGGUUUGGCUAGGGUUUCAACCAAAAAAAUCAAAUUUGGCUUCUUUAAUUGAGCUAGGUCAACGAGGGCUCAUUGAGUUUCGUUGCAGACAAUUCCACGACAAUUCCAUAUCUAAACGUUACCUUGUAGCAUUCUUGAUCAUUGGAGGACGACAUACUCAUCACAUAUAGGGGUGGCGCAAACCUUAGCAGCACUGCUUAGAGAGAGUAUAUCUAAUAUGCCCUUCUGAUAGUAGAAAUGCCCUUCUGAUAGUAGAAAGUUAAAUUAAGGGGGGUGUAUUCAAUCUAGAUUUUAAAUGAUUCUAUAUGAUUUUUAAUAAUCCACGGAUUCUCAUGGAUUUUGCAGAAUCCACAUAUUGUUUUAAUUCUAUAUGGAUUUAGACAUAUUCUAAUGUAUUAUAUUAACAAGAUUUGUUUGGAUUUUAGGAUGUCAACAAGAUGAUCUGUACGCUUGAACCUUAAUAUUAUCUGGGAGUGGAUAAUCAUUUCAUGCA
This is an RNA transcript of Rosa rugosa (rugosa rose), 3787 nucleotides long. It is a transcript of the gene named transcription factor GTE11-like, with no coding region annotated. NCBI's taxonomy places the organism in Eukaryota, Viridiplantae, Streptophyta, Magnoliopsida, Rosales, Rosaceae. The transcript has 3 exons. The record is from RefSeq and is a predicted model, not a curated record.